This 254-nucleotide ribosomal RNA is filed under the name uncultured bacterium. RNAcentral's name for it is "partial 16S ribosomal RNA". It matches the Rfam family "Bacterial small subunit ribosomal RNA", at positions 524 to 776 of the family's 1533-position model. The record is from RNAcentral.
UACGUAGGGGGCGAGCGUUGUCCGGAUUUAUUGGGCGUAAAGAGCUCGUAGGCGGUUCGAUAAGUCGGACGUGAAAUCUCCACGCUCAACGUGGAGGGGCCGUUCGAUACUGUCGUGACUCGAGUCCGGUAGGGGAGUGUGGAAUUCCCGGUGUAGCGGUGAAAUGCGCAGAGAUCGGGAGGAACACCCGUAGCGAAGGCGGCUGUCUGGGACGGUACUGACGCUGAGACGCGAAAGCGUGGGGAGCGAACAGG